AUUCUCAUGACCGCCCUGGGGCCCUCUGCACCACAGGGUUUGUAGACAAGGAGACAGAGGCCCAGAGAGCAGCCAGGACACCUGACCAGCAGGACCAGGUUUCCAGCGAUUCUUGCUCAGGUGACUUCAGAGUGAGCUGGGGCCCCGGGCUGGGGAUCUAGAUGCCUCCUGGCCCCGCAGUGGGGGGCGAUGCCGGGCUCCUGCCAUCUCUCAGUGCUCAGAGGGCAGCGUUAGCACCAGGAUGUGUGCUGGUAGCUGGUCCUAUGGGCCCAGGGCCUUGCUAAGGUGGGGGGACCCCAUGAUGAAUACAGAGCCUGCCUCCCACCUGCCCCAGCCCCUCAACCUCAGAGAGAAGGCCUGGCGGACCAGCCUAAAACUGCCCUGCAUUUCAGAACUGUCAGUGUUACUGAGAAUGAGCCUAACCCCGGUCGGCACCAGGCGUUUUCUUGAACAAAGGCUAUUCUUUUACGACAAGGAGUCCCAUGAGCUUCCUAAAUGCCAGAGCCUAAAGCAGGGCCCUGGGCUGUCUCACUUGGCGCCACCUGCAGCAUCCGCCCUCUGUGAGUCACGUGACUAGCACCUCACUGCUGGUUCAAAAUCUGCCUCUCCCACUGCAGCCUCAAGGACUAACUUCUGUGUCCACUUUAAAGUGCAAAUGUGCCAUCUGCCUCCACUCUCUCAGAGCCCCAGGCGGUUUCUCACCUCUGGACCAGGAACAACAGAACGAGUGGGUCACAGAACACCCUCCAGCUGCCAUCCUGCCUGUCUGUUGGAUCACCUGCUCGGGGAGAAACCCCCUGCCACAUCGUGAGGGCACUCAAGCAGCUUCACGGAGGUCCACCUGACAGGGAACUGGGGCCUCCCGCAAGCUCGGAAGUGGGUCUUCCAGGCCUAGCCAGCCUCCAGAGGACUUCAGUCCUGAGCGACAUUUUGAGGGCGGUCUCCCAAGAGCCUGAGCCAGAACCACCCGCUUGCAUCACCGCCACAUUCCUGACCCACGGAAACUGUGACAUCAUAAAUGUCUGUC
Molecule: long non-coding RNA, 1027 nt
Filed under: Equus asinus (donkey)
Lineage: Eukaryota; Metazoa; Chordata; Mammalia; Perissodactyla; Equidae
Description: lncRNA (ENSEASG00005034101.1)
Source: RNAcentral